Molecule: ribosomal RNA, 459 nt
Filed under: uncultured bacterium
Lineage: Bacteria
Description: partial 16S ribosomal RNA
Rfam family: Bacterial small subunit ribosomal RNA
Source: RNAcentral
CCUACGGGUGGCAGCAGUGAGGAAUAUUGGUCAAUGGUCGGGAGACUGAACCAGCCAAGCCGCGUGAGGGAGGAAGGUACAGAGUAUCGUAAACCUCUUUUGUCAGGGAACAAAGGCGGGGACGUGUCCCCGGAUGAGUGUACCUGAAGAAAAAGCAUCGGCUAACUCCGUGCCAGCAGCCGCGGUAAUACGGAGGAUGCGAGCGUUAUCCGGAUUUAUUGGGUUUAAAGGGUGCGCAGGUGGUCUGUUAAGUCAGCGGUGAAAGCCCGGGGCUCAACCCCGGCCCGCCGUUGAACCUGGCAGUCUCGAGUGGGAGAGAAGUAUGCGGAAGGCGCGGGGUAGCGGUGAAAUGCAUAGAUAUCGCGCAGAAGUCCGAUUGCGAAGGCAGCAUGCCGGCUCCACACUGACGCGGAGGCACGAAAGCGUGGGUAUCGAACAGGAUUAGAUACCCCAGUAGUC